CGAAUAUAUAUUACACAAAAUUGUUCUUUACCAUAACUCCAAAUGCAAUUAACAAGAAGAUAAAUCGAAACCAAAUCUCGAACUCCGUAAAUGCUGGAUUGUAAUUCUUGAACUAUGAACAGUGCUUACUGACGUAGAAUGUGAGAUCGCGUAUGUUAUAACGUUGGUGGAAGCUCUCGAGCCCAUGAAAGUGAACAGUAAUAAUGUAAUAACUGUAAUCGAGAAAUCCUAGAUGAGCAACUACAAGUUCUUCGCACAUUUGCCUUUCACAUUUUAAGUGUCUGGUCCUAAAAAGAGAAGAGAAAAUACACAAUACCAAAUAUUUAACAUUGUAUAAUCUUGUCAAACAGUGAACUGUGCUAUACAGGCUCUAGACGUACCUAUUAUGGCCAGCUUCCGAGGACAAAACAGGUAUGAGUUUAUGAUCAGUGGUGAUACCAUCUAUGGAGAUGCUUAUCUGAAAACUUUUGUCGUACCUUUCAUCUGUAAAAUUCAAAACAUAUAAUCUCAAUUUUAUUA
Molecule: long non-coding RNA, 519 nt
Organism: Bombus pascuorum
Lineage: Eukaryota; Metazoa; Arthropoda; Insecta; Hymenoptera; Apidae
Exons: 2
Source: RefSeq, a predicted model, not a curated record